Molecule: ribosomal RNA, 406 nt
Filed under: uncultured bacterium
Lineage: Bacteria
Description: partial 16S ribosomal RNA
Rfam family: Bacterial small subunit ribosomal RNA
Source: RNAcentral
GACGAACGCUGGCGGCGUGCCUAAUACAUGCAAGUCGAACGAGUGGCGGACGGGUGAGUAAUGUCUGGGAAACUGCCUGAUGGAGGGGGAUAACUACUGGAAACGGUAGCUAAUACCGCAUACCAUCAGAUGUGCGCAGCUGGGCGUAGCUUGUUGGUGGGGUAACGGCUCACCAAGGCGACGAUGCCUCGCUGGUCUGAGAGGAUGACCAGCCACACUGGCACUGAUACACGGUCCAGACGCCUACGGGAGGUAGCAGUGGGGAAUAUUGGACAAUGGGCGCAAUCGUGAUGCAGCCAUGCCGCUUGUAUGAAGAAGGCCUUCGGGUUGUAAAGUUCUUUAAGCGGGGAGGCGUUACCCGCAGAAGAAGCACCGGCUAACUCCGUGCCAGCAGCCGCGGUAAUAC